Hypanus sabinus (Atlantic stingray) is the source of this 937-nucleotide long non-coding RNA. RefSeq lists it as uncharacterized. The record is from RefSeq and is a predicted model, not a curated record. Lineage: Eukaryota; Metazoa; Chordata; Chondrichthyes; Myliobatiformes; Dasyatidae. The transcript has 4 exons.
GAAACCGGUGGCAUAAAUCUGCAGGCUUCAUGGUAACUAUGGAAAUGGAUAAGGAUGAUCCAGACUUUCUGGAUUAGGGGAAGGUGAUUUCAAUGUUAUUGGGUAGGAACUGGCAAAGUAAAUGGGAAAAGUGACUUACAGAUUUACGGCGUCUGAUUUAUUCCCUCAGUUUUUGGCCCAAUACAAAGUGCUCCACCACUAAUGGAACAUUUAAAGAAAAUGGAAACAGGUUCUUGGUUUGUUCAUCUAUUCAGUUAGAUUGUGACGGGACUCCAGUUCAAAGUAGCCAUCAUUUGGUUUAGAAACCUUCAGCUAGCCACUGGUCUUUACCAAGGAAAAGGAUACGGAGGACCUGGAGAUCAGUGCUGAGUGUAUAAUUACGUUAAGUCUUUUGGAGGCCGAGGAGGAGGAAGUGUUGGGACUACUAAGGAGUAUUAACUGGGAAGAUGGCAGAUGGAUCCAGGUGGGGAAGCUGGUGUGGUAGAGUUGGGAGAUGGAGCCACAGAAAGAAAAUAAAGGGGUUCUAAGUUCAAAGUUCAAAGAAGUUCAUUAUCAAAGGACAUAUACGUAUAUCACCAUAUGCAACUCUGAGAUUCAUUUUCUUGUAGACAUACUCAAUAAACCCAAUAACCAAACUGGAAUCAAGGAAAGACUACACCAACAGGGUGGACAACCAGUGUACAAAAGUCAACAAACUGUGCAAAUACAAAAAAAAGUAAUAAAUGAAUAAGCAAUAAAUACUGAGAACAUGAGAUAAAGUGAGUCUAUAGGUAGUGGGUACAAUUCAGUGAUGGGAAAGUGAAGUUCAGUGAAUAUAUCCCUUUGUUUCAAGAGCCUGAUGGUUGAGGAGUAACAACUAUUUCUAAACCUGUUGUGAGUCCUGAAGCUCCUGAACCUUCUUCCUGGUGGCAUCAGUGAGAAAAGAGCAUGACCUGGG